Molecule: unclassified non-coding RNA, 253 nt
Filed under: uncultured Tepidisphaerales bacterium
Lineage: Bacteria; Pseudomonadati; Planctomycetota; Phycisphaerae; Tepidisphaerales
Description: contains 16S-23S intergenic spacer region
Rfam family: Bacterial small subunit ribosomal RNA
Source: RNAcentral
GACAGAGGUGCCAAGCGUUAGGCGGAAUCACUGGGCUUAAAGCGUGUGUAGGCGGAUGUCUAAGUACCUUGUGAAAUCCCACGGCUUACCCGUGGAACUGCUGGGUAUACUGGAUGUCUUGAGCCACUUAGGGGUCAGCGGAACAAACGGUGGAGCGGUGAAAUGCGUAGAUAUCGUUUGGAACGCCAAUGGUGAAAACAGCUGACUGGGAGUGUGCUGACGCUGAGACACGAAAGCCAGGGGAGCGAACGGG